This is a long non-coding RNA of Thalassophryne amazonica, 169 nucleotides long. RefSeq lists it as uncharacterized. The transcript has 3 exons. The record is from RefSeq and is a predicted model, not a curated record. NCBI's taxonomy places the organism in Eukaryota, Metazoa, Chordata, Actinopteri, Batrachoidiformes, Batrachoididae.
UGAGCGGCUUCAGUAACGUACAGUAACGGGGUGUCGGUAGUGGUAACGGCGUUAUAGUGACAGUCAGAGUAAUUACUUAGAUUAAUCGUUACUGAAAAAAGUAACGGCGUUAGUAACGCCGUUUAUUUCAACGCCGUUAUUCCCAUCACUGUUCACAUGAAUGUCUGUU